This 315-nucleotide ribosomal RNA is filed under the name Pandava sarasvati. RNAcentral's name for it is "partial 12S ribosomal RNA". The record is from RNAcentral. Lineage: Eukaryota; Metazoa; Arthropoda; Arachnida; Araneae; Titanoecidae.
CAGUAGUAAAACAAAAAUUAAACUAUUUUAUAUUGGCGGCAUUUCAUCUAUUUAGAGGAAUCUGUUUUAUAAUUGAUACUCCACAAUAAAUUUCACUUAAAAUUAAAAAUUUACAUACCGCCAUCUACAUGAACCUAUUUAAAAAUCUCCUUCAAAAUACACCUUAAAAAGUUAGGUCAAGGUGUAAUCUAUAUUUAAGCAAAAAUGGAUUACAUUAAAAAUAAUUUAAGAAUUAUUUUUACAUUAAAAAUAUGAAAAAGGAUUUAUAAGUACGAUUUUAAUAUUAUUUUAAUCCGAACAUGAUAAUAAAUGUGC